RNAcentral lists this ribosomal RNA (710 nucleotides) under Parasitodiplogaster sycophilon. RNAcentral describes it as "eukaryotic LSU rRNA". It matches the Rfam family "Eukaryotic large subunit ribosomal RNA", at positions 378 to 907 of the family's 3401-position model. The record is from RNAcentral. Lineage: Eukaryota; Metazoa; Nematoda; Chromadorea; Rhabditida; Diplogasteridae.
GAAGAGAGAGUUAAAGAGGACGUGAAACCACCAGGGACGAAGCGGAUGGAGUUGACGAAAUUGGCAGUAUUCAGGUGUGUGCGAUCGUGCGUCUGUGCCUUCUGCGACCGUUGUCUGUCGUGGGGGUGCUGGUUGUAGCGUGGUCGUGCGCUCUGCAUUUGCUGUCGGUAUGUGCCGAGAGGCCUGUUUGCCUCUUCUGAACCGUCGUGUGUUGCCCUUUGCCUCACGGUGAAGGUGUCUUGCGCGGCGGGUAGGUCGAUGGUGGAUAGGUUGCGCAUUUGGCGGCUGGCCUUUGUGCGGUGUGCGUUGCGGUGUGCGUUGUGCGUGAGCGGUGGCGUGCCACUUGUUUGCGAUUUCGGCGUACAUCGUAUGCGUGCGUCGCCACAGUCGUCCUCUCGGUAUGAAAAGUCAGCCACCCAUCCGACCCGUCUUGAAACACGGACCAAGAAGUCUAGCAUGUGCGCGAGUCAUUGGGUGUAAAAACCUAAAGGCGUAAUGAAAGUAAAGGCCGACUUGGUGCGGUUGAUAUGGGAGCCGUGUUCGCAUGCGUUCGCGGUGCACCAUAGCCCCAUCCCGAGAGCUUGCUCUGGGGUGGAGGUAGAGCGUACAUGCUGGGACCCGAAAGAUGGUGAACUAUGCCUGAGCAGGAUGAAGUCAGAGGAAACUCUGAUGGAAGUCCGAAGCGGUUCUGACGUGCAAAUCGAUCGUCU